AGUCCGCAGUUGGUUAGAAUGCCGGCCUGUCACGCCGGAGGUCGCGGGUUCGAGUCCCGUCCGGUCCGCCA
Molecule: transfer RNA, 71 nt
Filed under: Halomonas sp. PA5
Lineage: Bacteria; Pseudomonadati; Pseudomonadota; Gammaproteobacteria; Oceanospirillales; Halomonadaceae
Description: tRNA-Asp
Rfam family: tRNA
About the family: Transfer RNA (tRNA) molecules are approximately 80 nucleotides in length. Their secondary structure includes four short double-helical elements and three loops (D, anti-codon, and T loops).
Source: RNAcentral